UACGUAGGGUGCAAGCGUUAAUCGGAAUUACUGGGCGUAAAGCGUGCGCAGGCGGUUAUGUAAGACCGAUGUGAAAUGCCCGGGCUUAACCUGGGAACUGCAUUUGUGACUGCAUGGCUAGAGUUUGGCAGAGGGGGGUAGAAUUCCACGUGUAGCAGUGAAAUGCGUAGAUAUGCGGAGGAACACCGAUGGCGAAGGCAAUCCCCUGGGCCUGCACUGACGCUCAUGCACGAAAGCGUGGGGAGCAAACAGG
This 253-nucleotide ribosomal RNA is filed under the name uncultured bacterium. Its description in RNAcentral is "partial 16S ribosomal RNA". It matches the Rfam family "Bacterial small subunit ribosomal RNA", at positions 524 to 776 of the family's 1533-position model. The record is from RNAcentral.